Molecule: ribosomal RNA, 317 nt
Filed under: uncultured bacterium
Lineage: Bacteria
Description: bacterial SSU rRNA
Rfam family: Bacterial small subunit ribosomal RNA
Source: RNAcentral
GACGAACGCUGGCGGCGUGCUUAACACAUGCAAGUCGAGCGGUAAGGCCCUUUCGGGGGUACACGAGCGGCGAACGGGUGAGUAACACGUGGGUGACCUGCCCUCAGCUCUGGGAUAACGCCCGGGAAACUGGGUCUAAUACCGGAUAUGACUCCAUGACGCAUGUUGUGGGGUGGAAAGCCUUGUGCGGCUGAGGAUGGGCCCGCGGCCUAUCAGCUUGUUGGUGGGGUGAUGGCCUACCAAGGCGACGACGGGUAGCCGGCCUGAGAGGCGACCGGCCACACUGGGACUGAGACACGGCCCAGACUCCUACGGGA